CUGCUGUGGCUGAGCCUUGGGGUGAAGACAGGCAGCUGCUCCCAACCCCAGAACCUUUGCUGUCUUGGGACGGAUCACCGCUGCAAGAGGGGAAGUUGCUACUGUGAUGAAUUCUGCCAUGUGGCACCAGACUGCCACCCAGACCACAGUGUCCUCUGCAACCCUGCUUCUCAGAUGACCAAGAUGGUGCUGCAGAUGGUGCUGAGGAUGGAGAACCCACCAAGCCCCGCUAGGAGCCACCUAGACUGGAUGCAGAGCAUGAUUUGAAGAUUGUACCAGGAGAGC
RNAcentral lists this long non-coding RNA (285 nucleotides) under Homo sapiens (human). Its description in RNAcentral is "non-protein coding lnc-MUC20-67:82". Lineage: Eukaryota; Metazoa; Chordata; Mammalia; Primates; Hominidae. The record is from RNAcentral.